This is a long non-coding RNA of Venturia canescens, 924 nucleotides long. RefSeq lists it as uncharacterized. Lineage: Eukaryota; Metazoa; Arthropoda; Insecta; Hymenoptera; Ichneumonidae. The record is from RefSeq and is a predicted model, not a curated record. The transcript is spliced from 2 exons.
AGUCAAAAAUUGAAGAAAUAAAAACUUUGUCUCUCUCUCUCUCUCUCUUACGUGCAUUUCCUUUUGAAAUAAUAAUUUGCUUCCUGUCUGAAUUACAGGGAUUGGAACAUCAAUAGUCAAAAAGAUUGGAAAAUCAGUCGGACAGUCUAUGGAGGAUUUGAAAUAAUUCAAAAUUCAUGUGAAUUAAUCCACAUGAUCGAGGUUCGUCUGACGGAAGAUGAAUUAACAACGAGGCGACAUUUUUUCUAAAUCAUGCUUCGCCAUUCUUGUUUAAAUUUUCACCCACGUUUCACGAUUUCCUUAUUUUUAAAUAAAAUUAUGAAAUUAUUUUCUCAACGUAGAAAAGCCCGAGUUUUAGGUAAUAGUGGCGAAAAUAGAGGCAGAGAAACAGAGGAAAAAGAUACGCUAAGGGAGACGAGACUGCGUCCUUCGGACGGCAAGAAUCGAGACGAGAGAACGUCCCACGAGCACUGCGCGAGUGAAUUCUCUUACGCAGUCAUGUCCUAGGGACCACAGGCUCAGUGCAACCCACCAUUGUUUCCUGUGGACCACCCUCACAAGACUUAUCUUUUCCGAAGGAGAAAAAAGCGAACAACAUUUUUCCCUCGCAGGGAAAUAUUAGAUCGAAUAAACAACAUUGAAAUAUUUAAUGGCAUGAUCUUUGAUGACGACGAAAAGGAUCAGAUGAGUCCGAGGAAAGUAGAGAGGCUUCGAGAAAUAAAGAUAAAAAGACAGGGCACGUGUGCCUAUCGCGUGCUACUAAAUAUAUGGCUAUUUUCGACUCAAUUAUAGAAGGAUGCAUUACCAACGAUUAUUAUACAGUAUAUAAUUCAACCCUCCUCUUUACCCGGUCGUUUCGUGCUGUAUUUGGAUCGCAUGCUAACAAAUAAAUGAGCUACUGAUGCAAAUAUCAUUUUCGUCUGA